AGAACGAACGCUGGCGGCAUGCCUAACACAUGCAAGUCGAACGCCUGUAGCAAUACAGGAGUGGCGCACGGGUGAGUAACGCGUGGGAACCUGCCCUGGAGUGGGGGAUAACCGAGGAAAACUUCGGCUAAUACCGCAUACGACCUGAGGGUGAAAGAUUUAUCGCUCUAGGAGGGGCCCGCGUCGGAUUAGCUAGUUGGUGGGGUAACGGCCUACCAAGGCUACGAUCCGUAGCUGGUCUGAGAGGAUGACCAGCCACACUGGGACUGAGACACGGCCCAGACUCCUACGGGAGGCAGCAGUGGGGAAUAUUGGACAAUGGGGGAAACCCUGAUCCAGCAAUGCCGCGUGAGUGAUGAAGGCCUUAGGGUUGUAAAGCUCUUUCGGCGGGGACGAUGAUGACGGUACCCGCAGAAGAAGCCCCGGCUAACUUCGUGCCAGCAGCCGC
This 448-nucleotide ribosomal RNA is filed under the name uncultured bacterium. RNAcentral's name for it is "SSU rRNA". It matches the Rfam family "Bacterial small subunit ribosomal RNA", at positions 26 to 518 of the family's 1533-position model. The record is from RNAcentral.